This 460-nucleotide ribosomal RNA is filed under the name uncultured bacterium. RNAcentral describes it as "partial 16S ribosomal RNA". It matches the Rfam family "Bacterial small subunit ribosomal RNA", at positions 338 to 795 of the family's 1533-position model. The record is from RNAcentral.
CCUACGGGAGGCUGCAGUGAGGAAUCUUGGUCAAUGGACGCAAGUCUGAACCAGCCAUGCCGCGUGCAGGAAGACGGCUCUAUGAGUUGUAAACUUCUUUUGUACGAGGGUAAACGCAGAUACGCGUAUCUGUCUGAAAGUAUCUUACGAAUAAGGAUCGGCUAACUCCGUGCCAGCAGCCGCGGUAAUACGGAGGAUUCAAGCGUUAUCCGGAUUUAUUGGGUUUAAAGGGUGCGUAGGCGGUCUGAUAAGUUAGAGGUGAAACCCCGAGGCUCAACUGCGGAAUUGCCUCUGAUACUGUUAGGCUAGAGAGUAGUUGCGGUAGGCGGAAUGUAUGGUGUAGCGGUGAAAUGCUUAGAGAUCAUACAGAACACCGAUUGCGAAGGCAGCUUACCAAGCUACGUCUGACGUUGAGGCACGAAAGCGUGGGGAGCAAACAGGAUUAGAUACCCCUGUAGUC